Molecule: ribosomal RNA, 1758 nt
Filed under: Shigella sonnei
Lineage: Bacteria; Pseudomonadati; Pseudomonadota; Gammaproteobacteria; Enterobacterales; Enterobacteriaceae
Description: partial 23S ribosomal RNA
Rfam family: Bacterial large subunit ribosomal RNA
Source: RNAcentral
AUGCACCGAAGCUGCGGCAGCGACGCUUAUGCGUUGUUGGGUAGGGGAGCGUUCUGUAAGCCUGCGAAGGUGUGCUGUGAGGCAUGCUGGAGGUAUCAGAAGUGCGAAUGCUGACAUAAGUAACGAUAAAGCGGGUGAAAAGCCCGCUCGCCGGAAGACCAAGGGUUCCUGUCCAACGUUAAUCGGGGCAGGGUGAGUCGACCCCUAAGGCGAGGCCGAAAGGCGUAGUCGAUGGGAAACAGGUUAAUAUUCCUGUACUUGGUGUUACUGCGAAGGGGGGACGGAGAAGGCUAUGUUGGCCGGGCGACGGUUGUCCCGGUUUAAGCGUGUAGGCUGGUUUUCCAGGCAAAUCCGGAAAAUCAAGGCUGAGGCGUGAUGACGAGGCACUACGGUGCUGAAGCAACAAAUGCCCUGCUUCCAGGAAAAGCCUCUAAGCAUCAGGUAACAUCAAAUCGUACCCCAAACCGACACAGGUGGUCAGGUAGAGAAUACCAAGGCGCUUGAGAGAACUCGGGUGAAGGAACUAGGCAAAAUGGUGCCGUAACUUCGGGAGAAGGCACGCUGAUAUGUAGGUGAAGUCCCUUGCGGAUGGAGCUGAAAUCAGUCGAAGAUACCAGCUGGCUGCAACUGUUUAUUAAAAACACAGCACUGUGCAAACACGAAAGUGGACGUAUACGGUGUGACGCCUGCCCGGUGCCGGAAGGUUAAUUGAUGGGGUCAGCGCAAGCGAAGCUCUUGAUCGAAGCCCCGGUAAACGGCGGCCGUAACUAUAACGGUCCUAAGGUAGCGAAAUUCCUUGUCGGGUAAGUUCCGACCUGCACGAAUGGCGUAAUGAUGGCCAGGCUGUCUCCACCCGAGACUCAGUGAAAUUGAACUCGCUGUGAAGAUGCAGUGUACCCGCGGCAAGACGGAAAGACCCCGUGAACCUUUACUAUAGCUUGACACUGAACAUUGAGCCUUGAUGUGUAGGAUAGGUGGGAGGCUUUGAAGUGUGGACGCCAGUCUGCAUGGAGCCGGCCUUGAAAUACCACCCUUUAAUGUUUGAUGUUCUAACGUGGACCCGUGAUCCGGGUUGCGGACAGUGUCUGGUGGGUAGUUUGACUGGGGCGGUCUCCUCCUAAAGAGUAACGGAGGAGCACGAAGGUUGGCUAAUCCUGGUCGGACAUCAGGAGGUUAGUGCAAUGGCAUAAGCCAGCUUGACUGCGAGCGUGACGGCGCGAGCAGGUGCGAAAGCAGGUCAUAGUGAUCCGGUGGUUCUGAAUGGAAGGGCCAUCGCUCAACGGAUAAAAGGUACUCCGGGGAUAACAGGCUGAUACCGCCCAAGAGUUCAUAUCGACGGCGGUGUUUGGCACCUCGAUGUCGGCUCAUCACAUCCUGGGGCUGAAGUAGGUCCCAAGGGUAUGGCUGUUCGCCAUUUAAAGUGGUACGCGAGCUGGGUUUAGAACGUCGUGAGACAGUUCGGUCCCUAUCUGCCGUGGGCGCUGGAGAACUGAGGGGGGCUGCUCCUAGUACGAGAGGACCGGAGUGGACGCAUCACUGGUGUUCGGGUUGUCAUGCCAAUGGCACUGCCCGGUAGCUAAAUGCGGAAGAGAUAAGUGCUGAAAGCAUCUAAGCACGAAACUUGCCCCGAGAUGAGUUCUCCCUGACCCUUUAAGGGUCCUGAAGGAACGUUGAAGACGACGACGUUGAUAGGCCGGGUGUGUAAGCGCAGCGAUGCGUUGAGCUAACCGGUACUAAUGAACCGUGAGGCUUAACCUU